UUCCGGUUGAUCCUGCCGGAGGUCAUUGCUAUUGGAGUCCGAUUUAGCCAUGCUAGUUGCACGAGUUCAGACUCGUAGCAGAUAGCUCAGUAACACGUGGCCAAACUACCCUACAGAGCACGAUAACCUCGGGAAACUGAGGCUAAUAGUGCAUACGGCUCGCUACCUGGAAAUGGUACGAGCUCGAAACGCCCCGGCGCUGUAGGAUGUGGCUGCGGCCGAUUAGGUAGACGGUGGGGUAACGGCCCACCGUGCCAGUAAUCGGUACGGGUUGUGAGAGCAAGAGCCCGGAGACGGUAUCUGAGACAAGAUACCGGGCCCUACGGGGCGCAGCAGGCGCGAAACCUUUACACUGCACGCCAGUGCGAUAAGGGGACUCCAGGUGCGAGGGCAUAUAGUCCUCGCUUUUGUACACCGUAAGGUGGUGUACGAAUAAGUGCUGGGCAAGACCGGUGCCAGCCGCCGCGGUAAUACCGGCAGCACGAGUGAUGACCGCUAUUAUUGGGCCUAAAGCGUCCGUAGCUGGCCAGUCAAGUCCAUCGGGAAAUCUCUCCGCCUAACGGAGAGGCGUCCUGUGGAAACUGUCUGGCUUGGGACCGGAAGACCAGAGGGGUACGUCCGGGGUAGGAGUGAAAUCCCGUAAUCCUGGACGGACCACCGGUGGCGAAAGCGCCUCUGGAGGACGGAUCCGACGGUGAGGGACGAAAGCUCGGGUCACGAACCGGAUUAGAUACCCGGGUAGUCCGAGCUGUAAACGAUGUCUGCUAGGUGUGACACAGGCUACGAGCCUGUGUUGUGCCGUAGGGAAGCCGUGAAGCAGACCGCCUGGGAAGUACGUCCGCAAGGAUGAAACUUAAAGGAAUUGGCGGGGGAGCACUACAACCGGAGGAGCCUGCGGUUUAAUUGGAUUCAACGCCGGA
RNAcentral lists this ribosomal RNA (920 nucleotides) under uncultured archaeon. RNAcentral describes it as "bacterial SSU rRNA". It matches the Rfam family "Archaeal small subunit ribosomal RNA", at positions 1 to 922 of the family's 1478-position model. The record is from RNAcentral.